RNAcentral lists this ribosomal RNA (497 nucleotides) under uncultured bacterium. Its description in RNAcentral is "partial 16S ribosomal RNA". It matches the Rfam family "Bacterial small subunit ribosomal RNA", at positions 28 to 507 of the family's 1533-position model. The record is from RNAcentral.
GAUGAACGCUGGCGGCGUGCCUAAUACAUGCAAAUCGAGCGAACAGACGAGGAGCUUGCUCCUCUGACGUUAGCGGCGGACGGGUGAGUGACACGUGGAUAACCUACCUAUAAGACUGGGAUAACUUCGGGAAACCGGAGCUAAUACCGGAUAAUAUAUUUAACCGCAUGGUUCAAUAGUGAAAGACGGUUUUGCUGUCACUUAUAGAUGGAUCCGCGCCGCAUUAGCUAGUUGGUAAGGUAACGGCUUACCAAGGCAACGAUGCGUAGCCGACCUGAGAGGGUGAUCGGCCACACUGGAACUGAGACACGGUCCAGACUCCUACGGGAGGCAGCAGUAGGGAAUCUUCCGCAAUGGGCGAAAGCCUGACGGAGCAACGCCGCGUGAGUGAUGAAGGUCUUCGGAUCGUAAAACUCUGUUAUUAGGGAAGAACAAAUGUGUAAGUAACUAUGCACGUCUUGACGGUACCUAAUCAGAAAGCCACGGCUAACUACGUG